This 526-nucleotide ribosomal RNA is filed under the name Neoscytalidium dimidiatum. Its description in RNAcentral is "LSU rRNA". It matches the Rfam family "Eukaryotic large subunit ribosomal RNA", at positions 106 to 645 of the family's 3401-position model. The record is from RNAcentral. Lineage: Eukaryota; Fungi; Ascomycota; Dothideomycetes; Botryosphaeriales; Botryosphaeriaceae.
AGCUCAAAUUUGAAAGCUGGCCCCCCCCGGGGGUCCGCGUUGUAAUUUGUAGAGGAUGAUUCGGCGAGGGCUCCCGCCUAAGUCCCCUGGAACGGGGCGUCAUAGAGGGUGAGAAUCCCGUAUGCGGUGGGCUGCCUUAGCCAUGUGAAUCUCCUUCGACGAGUCGAGUUGUUUGGGAAUGCAGCUCUAAAUGGGAGGUAAAUUUCUUCUAAAGCUAAAUACCGGCCAGAGACCGAUAGCGCACAAGUAGAGUGAUCGAAAGAUGAAAAGCACUUUGGAAAGAGAGUUAAAAAGUACGUGAAAUUGUUGAAAGGGAAGCGCUUGCAGCCAGACUUGCCCGCAGUUGCUCAGCCGGUCUCCUGACCGGCGCACUCUUCUGCGGCCAGGCCAGCAUCAGUUCGGGCGGUCGGAUAAAGGCCCCGGGAACGUAGCUCCUCUCGGGGAGUGUUAUAGCCCGGGGUGGAAUGCGGCCAGCCUGGACUGAGGAUCUCGCUUCGGCUAGGAUGCUGGCGUAAUGGCUGUAAGC